RNAcentral lists this unclassified non-coding RNA (376 nucleotides) under uncultured bacterium. Its description in RNAcentral is "contains 16S-23S intergenic spacer region". The record is from RNAcentral.
UCCGAGUUGACCCCGGCAGUCUCCCAUGAGUCCCCGGCAUAACCCGCUGGCAACAUGGAACGAGGGUUGCGCUCGUUGCGGGACUUAACCCAACAUCUCACGACACGAGCUGACGACAGCCAUGCACCACCUGUGACCGCCCCCGAAGGACACCGCAUCUCUACGGUUUUAGCGGCCAUGUCAAACCCAGGUAAGGUUCUUCGCGUCGCAUCGAAUUAAUCCGCAUGCUCCGCCGCUUGUGCGGGCCCCCGUCAAUUCCUUUGAGUUUCAUUCUUGCGAACGUACUCCCCAGGCGGGAUACUUAACGCGUUAGCUACAGCAUUGCACGGGUCGAUACGCACAGCGCCUAGUAUCCAUCGUUUACGGCAUGGACUAC